UGCUUAACACAUGCAAGUCGAACGGAAAGGCCUUUUCGGAGGUACUCGAGUGGCGAACGGGUGAGUAACACGUGGGUGAUCUGCCCUGCACUCUGGGAUAAGCCUGGGAAACUGGGUCUAAUACCGGAUAGGACCGCACUUUAGUGUGUGUGGUGGAAAGUUUUUUCGGUGUAGGAUGAGCCCGCGGCCUAUCAGCUUGUUGGUGGGGUAAUGGCCUACCAAGGCGGCGACGGGUAGCCGGACUGAGAGGUUGGUCGGCCACAUUGGGACUGAGAUACGGCCCAGACUCCUACGGGAGGCAGCAGUGGGGAAUAUUGCACAAUGGGCGCAAGCCUGAUGCAGCGACGCCGCGUGGGGGAUGACGGCCUUCGGGUUGUAAACUCCUUUCGCCAGGGACGAAGCGUUUUGUGACGGUACCUGGAGAAGAAGCACCGGCUAACUACGUGCCAGCAGCCGCGGUAAUACGUAGGGUGCAAGCGUUGUCCGGAAUUACUGGGCGUAAAGAGCUCGUAGGUGGUUUGUCACGUCGUCUGUGAAAUUCCACAGCUUAACUGUGGGCGUGCAGGCGAUACGGGCUGACUUGAGUACUGUAGGGGUAACUGGAAUUCCUGGUGUAGCGGUGAAAUGCGCAGAUAUCAGGAGGAACACCGAUGGCGAAGGCAGGUUACUGGGCAGUUACUGACGCUGAGGAGCGAAAGCAUGGGUAGCAAA
RNAcentral lists this ribosomal RNA (711 nucleotides) under Corynebacterium propinquum. Its description in RNAcentral is "bacterial SSU rRNA". It matches the Rfam family "Bacterial small subunit ribosomal RNA", at positions 45 to 772 of the family's 1533-position model. Lineage: Bacteria; Bacillati; Actinomycetota; Actinomycetes; Mycobacteriales; Corynebacteriaceae. The record is from RNAcentral.